RNAcentral lists this ribosomal RNA (102 nucleotides) under Rhododendron griersonianum. Lineage: Eukaryota; Viridiplantae; Streptophyta; Magnoliopsida; Ericales; Ericaceae. The record is from RNAcentral.
UGCGAUCAUACCAGCACUAAUGCACCGGAUCCCAUCAGAACUCCGCAGUUAAGCGUGCUUGGGCGAGAGUAGUACUAGGAUGGGUGACCCCCUGGGAAGUCC